Molecule: ribosomal RNA, 253 nt
Filed under: uncultured bacterium
Lineage: Bacteria
Description: partial 16S ribosomal RNA
Rfam family: Bacterial small subunit ribosomal RNA
Source: RNAcentral
UACGUAGGGUGCGAGCGUUAAUCGGAAUUACUGGGCGUAAAGCGUGCGCAGGCGGUUUUGUAAGCCAGAUGUGAAAUCCCCGGGCUCAACCUGGGAAUGGCAUUUGGGACUGCAAGGCUGGAGUGCGGCAGAGGAGACUGGAAUUCCUGGUGUAGCAGUGAAAUGCGUAGAUAUCAGGAGGAAUACCGAUGGCGAAGGCAGGUCUCUGGGCUGACACUGACGCUCAUGCGCGAAAGCGUGGGGAGCAAACAGG